UCUCCGUUGGUGAACCAGCGGAGGGAUCAUUACCGAGUUUACAACUCCCAAACCCCUGUGAACAUACCUAUCGUUGCCUCGGCGGUGCCCGCUCCGGCGGCCCGCCAGAGGACCCCCAAACUCUUGUUUAAUACAGUAUCUUCUGAGUAACACGAUUAAAUAAAUCAAAACUUUCAACAACGGAUCUCUUGGUUCUG
This 197-nucleotide unclassified non-coding RNA is filed under the name plant metagenome. RNAcentral describes it as "partial contains small subunit ribosomal RNA, internal transcribed spacer 1, and 5.8S ribosomal RNA". The record is from RNAcentral.